CUGUGUGAAUGCAAGUGUGAACACCUGCUUAAUUUAAGCAUAUAAGUAGGCGGAGGAAAUGACACAAACAUGGAUUCACUGAGUAACUGCGAGUGACAUGUGAUUUGCUCACAGCUGAUAUUCUUUGCUGUCUGCUUUGACAUGAGGACUUUGAGUGCGGUGCCAAUGGUGGUGUAAGUGUGAGCCAUCUUGGAAAAGAGGAGAGUGUGCACUGACAAGGGUGAGAAGCCUGUGUGUGCUUGCAAAAUCUCCAUAUGGGGGUCACGCUUUGAGAAUCAUGCUCUUUGGAAGUGGAGUGUAAAGUGGGUGGUAGACUCUUCUCAAAGCUGAGUACAGAACUGGGACCGACAGGGAAGAAGUACCAUGAGGGAAGUGUGAAAAGGACUUUGGAAAGAGACUUAAAAGAGCCUGUACUUGCUGAAGGAUAUGCAUACAGCAUGCUUGCAUGUGAGAUGAUUGCUGUGUGUAUGAGUCUGACUUUGGCUGGAUGGCCAUGGCCGUGUGCCAUGGACACUUGGCCACCCAAUGUGUAUCCUCUUGUGUGUGCCAGCAUGUGGGAGACAGUCAGUGUUUGAGUGCAGUGGUUGCUGUGUCUGGGGAUACAUCAGAUGUGCACUCAAAGAUCUGAGCAUGUUGAGAAGCAGGUGCAGAAGGGCCCUCCUGUCUGUAUGACCCGUCUUGAAACACGGACCAAGGAGUCUAGCAUGAGUGCAAGCAUAUGGGACCGAAGGCUCUGUGUGCAAUGAAGGUGGAGUCCCAGAUUUGUGCAUGAGUGUUCAAACAAGCAGGAGGACAAGGUUUGAGUCUGAGCAUUCCUGACAGGACCCGAAAGAUGGUGAACUAUGCCCGGAAAGGGCCAAGUCAGGGGAAACUCUGGUGGAGGCUCGUAGCGUUACUGACGUGCAAAUCGUUCGUCACACCUGGGUAUGGGGGCGAAAGACUAAUCGAACCAUCUAGUAGCUGGUUCCCUCUGAAGUUUCCCUCAGGAUAGCUGAACUUGCAGGACUUUCACCAGGUAAAGCGAAUGAUUGGAGGAAUUGGGGGUUGCAGACCUUUGACCUAUUCUCAAACUUUUAAUGGGUGUGUUGUGUGGUUGCUUAGCUGAACCAACAGCUAAUGAUGACUCUUAGUGGGCCACUUUUGGUAAGCAGAACUGGCGAUGAGGGGUGAACCUGAUGAUGGGUUAAGGCACUGAAGUUCUUGCUCAUCAGAAACUGUAAAGGGUGUUGGCUCAUUCUGACAGCAGGUCGGUGGUCAUGGAAGUUGAAAUCCGCUUGGGAGUGUGUAACAACUCACCUGCCGAAUGGACUGGCCCCAAAAAUGGAUGGUGCUCCAGCAGGUGGCUGACACUUGUCAAGUGUGAAUUCUAACCACAAUGUGUAGGAGGGUAUGGUUGUUAGUGCCGAAACAUUGAGUGU
Molecule: ribosomal RNA, 1418 nt
Filed under: Gambierdiscus jejuensis
Lineage: Eukaryota; Dinophyceae; Gonyaulacales; Pyrocystaceae
Description: partial large subunit ribosomal RNA
Rfam family: Eukaryotic large subunit ribosomal RNA
Source: RNAcentral